This 1666-nucleotide ribosomal RNA is filed under the name human metagenome. RNAcentral's name for it is "bacterial LSU rRNA". It matches the Rfam family "Bacterial large subunit ribosomal RNA", at positions 280 to 1977 of the family's 2925-position model. The record is from RNAcentral.
UUUCCCUACACGACGCUCUUCCGAUCUAAGUUGCGUAUGAGUUAGUAGAACAUCCUGGGAAGGGUGGCCAUAGAGGGUGAUAGCCCCGUAUACGAAAGCCAUACACAAUGAAUCGAGUAGGGCGGGACACGUGAAAUCCUGUCUGAACAUGGGGGGACCAUCCUCCAAGGCUAAAUACUCGUUGUCGACCGAUAGUGAACCAGUACCGUGAGGGAAAGGCGAAAAGAACCCUGGUGAAGGGAGUGAAAUAGAACCUGAAACCGUGUGCAUACAAGCAGUCAGAGCAUAUGAAGAUAUGUGAUGGCGUACCUUUUGUAUAAUGGGUCAGCGAGUUACAUUCAGUGGCGAGGUUAACCGAAUAGGGGAGCCGUAGCGAAAGCGAGUCUUAAUAGGGCGAUAAGUCUCUGGGUGUAGACCCGAAACCGGGCGAUCUAUCCAUGGGCAGGUUGAAGGUUGAGUAACAUCAACUGGAGGACCGAACCCACGCAUGUUGAAAAAUGCGGGGAUGACCUGUGGAUAGGAGUGAAAGGCUAAACAAGCUCGGAGAUAGCUGGUUCUCCCCGAAAACUAUUGAGGUAGUGCCUUGUAGAUUGACUUACGGGGGUAGAGCACUGUUUCGGCUAGGGGGUCAUACCGACUUACCAACCCGAUGCAAACUCCGAAUACCGUAAAGUUUUACUACAGGAGACACACGGCGGGUGCUAACGUCCGUCGUGAAGAGGGAAACAACCCAGACCGCCAGCUAAGGUCCCGAAAUGACAGUUCAGUGGGAAACGAAGUGGGAAGGCUUAGACAGCUAGGAGGUUGGCUUAGAAGCAGCCAUCCUUUAAAGAAAGCGUAAUAGCUCACUAGUCGAGUCGUCCUGCGCGGAAGAUUUACCGGGGCUAAACUGUCUACCGAAGCUGCGGAUUUGCAUGAAGAUGCAAGUGGUAGGGGAGCGUUGUGUAAGCCGAAGAAGGUGUGUUGAGAAGCAUGCUGGAGGUAUCACAAGUGCGAAUGCUGACAUGAGUAACGAUAAUGCGGGUGAAAAACCCGCACACCGAAAACCCAAGGUUUCCUGCGCAACGCUAAUCGGCGCAGGGUGAGUCGGCCCCUAAGGCGAGGCGGAAACGCGUAGUCGAUGGGAAACAGGUUAAUAUUCCUGUACUGAUCAUAAUUGCGAUGGGGGGACGGAGAAAGCUAGGCCAGCACACUGUUGGAUGUGUGUUUAAGCGCGUAGGUUGGGGAUUUAGGCAAAUCCGGGUUCCUAAGACUGAAACGUGAUGACGAGUUUCUACGGAAACGAAGUGGUUGAUGCUCUGCUUCCAGGAAAAGCCUCUAAGCUUCAGAUUAUGACAACCGUACCCCAAACCGACACAGGUGGGUAGGAAGAGAAUUCCAAGGUGCUUGAGAGAACUCGGGUAAAGGAACUCGGCAAAAUGAUACCGUAACUUCGGGAUAAGGUAUGCCUCUGAUGGUGAAUAGCUGUUGGAGGCCGCAGAGAAUAGGCCGCUGCGACUGUUUAUCAAAAACACAGCACUCUGCAAACACGCAAGUGGACGUAUAGGGUGUGACGCCUGCCCGGUGCCGGAAGGUUAAUUGAUGGGGUGCAAGCUCUUGAUCGAAGCCCCGGUAAACGGCGGCCGUAACUAUAACGGUCCUAAGGUAGCGAAAUUCCUUGUCGGGU